RNAcentral lists this ribosomal RNA (468 nucleotides) under uncultured bacterium. RNAcentral describes it as "partial 16S ribosomal RNA". It matches the Rfam family "Bacterial small subunit ribosomal RNA", at positions 28 to 507 of the family's 1533-position model. The record is from RNAcentral.
GACGAACGCUGGCGGCGUGCUUAACACAUGCAAGUCGAACGGAAAGGCCCUGUUUUUGUGGCGUGCGCGAGUGGCGAACGGGUGAGUAACACGUGAGUAACCUGCGCUUUACUUUGGGAUAACUUCAGGAAACUGGAGCUAAUACCGGAUAUAAGCUCCUGCUGCAUGGGGGGUGUGGUAGAGUGUCGGAGGUUCGGGAUGGACUUGCGGCUUAUCAUCUUGUUGGUGGGGUAGUGGCUUACCAAGGCUUUGACGGGUAGCCGGCCUGAGAGGGUGACCGGCCACAUUGGGACUGAGAUACGGGCAGGACUCAUACGGGGGGAAGCAGUGGGGAAUAUUCCAAAAUGGGCGGCAGCCGGAUGCAGCAACGCCGCGUGGGAGAUGACGGUCUUCGGGUUGUAACCCGCUUUAGCCUGUGAAGCAGAGUGAGUGACGGUAAUGGGUAAAGAAGCAACGGCUAACUACGUG